Molecule: ribosomal RNA, 544 nt
Filed under: Claudrilus sp. 184615576
Lineage: Eukaryota; Metazoa; Annelida; Polychaeta; Protodrilidae
Also listed under: 2 other names
Description: SSU rRNA
Rfam family: Eukaryotic small subunit ribosomal RNA
Source: RNAcentral
ACAGCGAAACCGCGAAUGGCUCAUUAAAUCAGUUAUUGUUUAUUUGAUAGUACCUUUUACAUGGAUAACCGUGGCAAUUCUAGGGCUAAUACAUGCAACCAAGCCCCUUGCUUACGCUGGGGGCGCUUUUAUUAGAUCAAGACCAAACCGGCAGCAAUGCCGGCCCCUUUGGUGACUCUGGAUAACUUUUGCUAAUCGCACGAUCUUGCAUCGGCGAUGUGUCAUUCAAAUUUCUGCCUUAUCAACUUUCGAUGGUACGUUAUACGCCUACCAUGGUUGUUACGGGUAACGGGGAAUCAGGGUUCGAUUCCGGAGAGGGAGCCUGAGAAACGGCUACCACAUCCAAGGAAGGCAGCAGGCGCGCAAAUUACCCACUCCCGGCUCGGGGAGGUAGUGACGAAAAAUAACAAUACAGGUCUCUUUCGAGGUCCUGUAAUUGGAAUGAGUACACUCUAAACCUUUUAACGAGGAUCUAUUGGAGGGCAAGUCUGGUGCCAGCAGCCGCGGUAAUUCCAGCUCCAAUAGCGUAUAUAAAAGUUGUUGC